Long non-coding RNA from Pollicipes pollicipes, 761 nucleotides. RefSeq lists it as uncharacterized. The record is from RefSeq and is a predicted model, not a curated record. Lineage: Eukaryota; Metazoa; Arthropoda; Thecostraca; Pollicipedomorpha; Pollicipedidae. The transcript is spliced from 3 exons.
GAAGACGGUGGUCAUUAGUAGGCUUGUGUUGUCGGGUAGCCAUUUGCGUUUUUUGCCCGUUUGUGUUCAAACAUGGCAGCAAAGGGUUCGCCUCUAAAGUAGAAGCAAACACGUUCUACAAAAAAUUAACGUCUGUCGUUAAUGGCCUACUGGUCGAAAUGAAUUUAGUUCCUGGGAAUCUUGACUGACGUUUUUCUGUAUGCGAUUGGCUAUUAUGGUUUGUAAUGCCUCCAUACACACUGUUUCGCUUGCUUUUCUCAUUUUGGAAAUGGCCGGGUGGUCAGCACCUUCGUCAGGGUCCCGGGUUCGAGUCCCGGUAAAGCCAUCACCCCUUGAUAUAAAAAUAGAUGCCGGUUUUGACUGUGAGCUUUACUCGCCAAGGUCUCUUGUACGGCGUCGGUUGCGGACCACGCUGAGUGUUGCCUCCCCCAGGAGUACGACAGGCCAGCGGCGGCGGCGGCGGCGGCCGCCCCAUCGGCGCGCCGACACCUGCUGCCGUUCCCGAGUCAGGCCGGCCCGGCCGACGAGGCGCGCUGCUGUCACCUGUGCGGCGCCGAGUUCGUCACACUGGCCGCCGCCAUGGCGCACGAGCGUCUCUGCGGCGGACCAGGAGCCGACGACGGCUGGCUGGACACGGACUCUGUGUCCUCCGAGCCGAUCACUCACUGCUCCGACCAGACGCGCUUUCUCAGCUACCUGGACCUGGUGCCGGCGGCUCGCAGCGUUCAGCAGCCGUACGUGUCGCCGAGCCGGCGGCGCCA